GAUACUUUUUUUUUUUUUUUUUGAUGAAAAUGUAAUUAAAUAUUUCGAUGGAAUAAAAAAAAUAAAAAGUUUUACAAUAAUCCAAUCAUUUCACCGAUCAAUAAAAAUUGAACGUUAAAAAUUUAUCGUACGAGCCAAUUGUGCACGCAAGUUUUAAUAUCAUUAUUAAUCACAAGAAUAAACCUGGUGCUCGGACUCGACGGACGAAAUAAAAAAAAAGAUUAUUUUUCCAACGCUUACUUUCCAGCCUAGACCCGAGGCAUUUUCAAAUAAACACUCCCUCCCCUCCCCUCCUUCCUCAUUAUAUCGUGACUUUUUUUAUUUCCCUCUUUACGCGCAACAUGAAUUUUUGCCGCGCUUUUCAAACGCUAUAUAUCUCUCGCACAAAGGCAAGCAUCGGACGGUAAUAAAAUUUAUUAAGAAGAAAAGAAAUCGCAUAAAAGAAGUAUCGUGGCCGGGCAUGCAAACAUGUAGACAAACAGCAAAGAGCGUUUGUCCUGCAAACGAGGAACGUCACCGACGCGAAACUUUGCCAAGGAUGCCAGGAAUGUGGGACAAGGAAAAUCUCGACGCCUUGGCUUCGAUGCGUUUUAUUAUCACAACUAGCAUUUCGCUAGUGAAAAUAUCAAGCGUCGAAUAUUAUAUUAUAUUCCGUUGAAUAUGAACAGAAUGGUCAAUAUCCGUGUCGAUUUCUAAUUUAAAUUCGUCCUUUCCCUCUCCUCUUCCCUCCCUCCCCCCUCCCUUUCCCCAAAAAAAUAUUUCGGGAAAAUAUAUCCCCCCCCGUUCAACGAUACGCUUCCCCGUAUAUGUAAAUCUACGAAGGCCGAUUGUAUACACGGGAAAUGUAUUUUUCCGGUUACACGGUAGACUUGCCAGGUAACAACCGACCGACUUGUUCCGUUUCAUUAUGCAAGCAAGAGAACUAGAAAAAAAAAGAAAAAAAAAAAAAAUAACAACAAAACAGUAGUGGUAGGUCUCUAUCGAGACCCAUUAAAAUACGUUCUUCAUGCUCGGUUUCUACUUUAUUAACAUAUUCGAUGAAAUAUUUUACGAUCCGAUAUUAGAUUUGUUACAUUAUUAUUGUGUUACUGUCGUAACUCGCGAAUGUUGAUAUUUAACGAUUGCGGAUUACACGUGUUUUUGAAUUUAUAUCAUUUCAAGCUUUAUAUCCCUCUCUAUUGAAAAUAUUUUCUGUGUAGUUGCGAUAUCUGCAUGUAAGUUUCACGUGUAAACACGGCUACCCUGACCUUCUAUCGUUUUUUUGUUUCUCCGUAGCUCGUAAAAAUUAGAAACUCGAACGUGUAUCGCCGGAAAAAACAGUCGUUCAUCGACGACCGGUAAGUACGGGAUCUAACUUUUCGUCCGCGUUAGAAUUUUUAGAAGGCGUUUCAUGAGGCGUUUCGAUCGUACGAAAAAUGAGCCGUUACGAAUUGGUUAAGAGCGUGCGCGUCUCGCGCUUCGCGCAUCGAGACGUUGGAAAAUCGUCCCAUCAGUGGAGGAUUCGAUGCGUGUCUGUCACGCGGCCGAUUCUGUGCAUACUCGCGUAACUUCGUCGGCUUGGUAAAUCAACGGACGAGAAGAAGACGUGUACAACAACGAUGCAAGAUGCGCUUGUUAUAUCGCUUUUCCAUUUUAUCCGUCUCGAAAAGAGGAAAUUCUAGAACAAACUGAUUCUAAAUCUUGUAAUGAAAUAUAUAGUUUUAAAUUCAUAAAAUCAGAUGAGAUAGCAGUAAAGCAAG
Long non-coding RNA from Apis mellifera (honey bee), 1739 nucleotides. RefSeq lists it as uncharacterized. The transcript has 2 exons. The record is from RefSeq and is a predicted model, not a curated record. Lineage: Eukaryota; Metazoa; Arthropoda; Insecta; Hymenoptera; Apidae.